Molecule: ribosomal RNA, 246 nt
Filed under: uncultured prokaryote
Description: partial 16S ribosomal RNA
Rfam family: Bacterial small subunit ribosomal RNA
Source: RNAcentral
UACGUAGGGUGCGAGCGUUGUCCGGAAUUACUGGGCGUAAAGGGCGCGCAGGCUGUUAUGCGAGUCUGCUGUGAAAUGUACCGGCUCAACCGGUGCCUUGCGGCGGAUACUGCAUAGCUUGAGUACUGGAGAGGGAAGUGGAAUUCCCGGUGUAGCGGUGAAAUGCGUAGAGAUCACACAGAAUAUCGAUUGCGAAGGCAGCUCACAAAGCCAAGAUUGACGCUGAGGCACGAAAGUGUGGGGGAU